Long non-coding RNA from Brassica rapa (field mustard), 5119 nucleotides. RefSeq lists it as uncharacterized. The record is from RefSeq and is a predicted model, not a curated record. Lineage: Eukaryota; Viridiplantae; Streptophyta; Magnoliopsida; Brassicales; Brassicaceae.
AAUAUCUAUAUAUAUAUAUAUAUAAAAUUGUUUGCCUCCCUCCUGUUUGGCCACAUCAGCGCCAGGUCAGAAAGUCGACUCCUCUAAGCGCGACACGUGUCCCAGACAAAUGAAACUCAUCGUUUCAUUUAAGCUUGAGCCAAUUGGGCUUUGAUCGUUAAUGUGUCUCUCUGUAUCUGAUUUCUUUAGUUUGUUCACGUUUUGAAUGGGUUUUAAGUUUCAAUAACCGGAUAUCAAUUAAUAGGCUUCAAUAUUAACUGCAACAAUUGUUUUGGGUUUAGAAAGCUUGGUCAAACAGGCUGCUAAUACACAUGAUGAGCCCAACAACUCCAAACGUCAUAAUCAAAACUACAGACGAAUCGUUUCUAGAGCUCCUUCAAUGCACUAUUUCUCAUUCAAUGCAUCUCUCUUUUCUCAGUCGGUGAAAUACAACUAUAAGUAGAUUAGUCUUCAAUCUGUAAAACUCAUCAUUUCAUUUCUGACAGUCAUAUAAACUUUGGCAAAGCAGAAUAGUGAAGAAUCCUUCUCUCCUCCUUGCUGAUUUUAAAGCAGUCAUAAAUAGAUUAGUCUUCUAUCCUUUCUCUUCCUGGACGACGAAACCUCCUUUUGCUUGCGCAUUCAUGAAGCCGUUCGCGGGCAGGCUUUUUACAGAGUAUGAGGUUAAUGUGAGGUGAAAACAGCUUUGUAUUUUGCGGCGGCCAUUGAUGCGGUGGACGAUUCGGUUAAGGCAGAUGCUUCUUCCUAAGCUGGAGAGAGGUGAUGAAUCAGAUGAUGGAGGCAUGGAAACCAGUCCCAGAUUUACCAGAGGAGGCUUCUCCACCAGGAUAAAGGUGUGACAUGCUUCUUGACUGAUGUAAAGAGAUUGUUCUCAGAAGAAGCUGAGAGACGAAGCUAUGAGGAUCUAGCGUGAGAAAACCACAUUUGUUGCAGUCUGGGAAAGACACAAAAUGUAAGCUCCGGAAACAUCUUGGAGAGGUUUUUCCAAAGAACUUUGCGCGAAUGAAUAGGUUACUGAGGUAAAAGACGGAGAGAUUGCAAAUCUAAAAGAUGAGGAUAAGGUUGAUCAGUUGAUGUUAGCUCACUGACAACUAGAGACUAAGGAACUUGAAUCUCAGUGCAGCAUCCAUUCUUUGUUUUUAUUUAUUCUUGAGUUAUGUUAUUGUUGGAAAGUUUAUGUCCUUACCUUACAAAUGACCAUUGUUCCACCUGUAUAAAAAUCAGUUGGAUAAACAAAGAUUUUCUAAAGCUACAAUUUUAAAGCUCUUUGGCUAAUUUAUAAUGUUAUUUUGAGAAACGGGUCCGUAAAACCAACAACUCAAACUGCACCGUCUGAUUUUAUUCUACGGUGGGGAAGUAACUGUGUUUAGUGAUUUCUCUGCUGAGAAAUCCAAAUAUCAGAGGAAACAACAAUCAAUAUGACAAACAUAAUUUAGGAAUCCUAUGUCAAGUCAGCCGUGUAAAACGCACGCAUUAUGACGACUUUGGCUGUUUAAAUUAAUUUGAAUGAAAUAAAAAAGUAUACAAAAUUUCUGAACUUUUGUUGGGAUUGUGAGAAAGUUAAAGGAGAAAAACCUAUUAUACCAAACUUUGUUAUGUCUUUUAUUUUAUUUUUGCAGAUAUAUAUCUUCAUUGUGUUCAUGGUCAGCCACGAUCAAGAAAGUGAGAAAUAACCUUUUUACAGGAGCACUCCUUUCAAUCUCUCUUACAGGGUUACAGUAUUUAGCGGCAAUAAAGCGACCCAGUAAUAAAUCAGGUGAAUCGCGACCAUCCUUACAUAAUCUCUCUGUCACCUCAGUCAUUGUAUAUUUUUCUCAAGAGUUUUGGUGUCCUUAACCUGAGGUUUAUUAUGAGUAGUUGUUGAUCUCUCUCCAUGUUAUAAGCUUCCUGCUGGUUUUGAGGUAUAUCAUUAUCACAUUUCAGGUUGAGCCUAGAGUUGAAGCUGAAUCAUGGUUUGUAAUUGGUGGUUUUAAUGAAAACUUUAUUGUAAUGGGAGAAAGGUUAGACGGUAGUCCUAAACAGAAGAAGAGAUCGAGCUUAUUCACGAGGUGGUCUUAGUGAAAGGAUUGCUGUGAGGGCCGGUUUUAACUGAGUAUAAACAAUGACAGUAUUCUUCGGUUUCUAUGUUUAACCAUCUCUUCUCCUGCUCUUAGCCCUGCCAACUCCACUAGAGUCUCCGAAUUUCCUCUUAAUAUUUCUUUUCAUGCGUAAAUUUGAUUUAUAUCAUUUUGGGAAUUCGAUACAUCUAACCGAGUUUGGUAUACAAUGUGGAAUUACACAAAGAUUGUAAAAAAAAGGUGGGUGUGGGCCGUAUGGCAACUUGGAAUCACCACUUGAUUUCGACCAACAAUAUAAAAUCCAAACAUUUAAUUAUUACGAAUUGAAUCGAAGAUUCAGUAUUAUUUAUAUUUAAUAGUUUAAUUUAUAUUUUAAUUAUGUUGAUCUUACAACAACACUCAUACAAAAAAAAAAUAUUUCCAUUUAUACGAAUUACAAUAACAAACAUGAAUGCCAUAGCAAAAAAAAUAACAAACAUGAAUGCUGUUUUUUUUUUGGUAGAGCAUGAAUGUUAUUAAAUAAACUAUUAUGGCUCUGAUGUCCAAACCAAAUAAAGCAUGAAUUAAGGACAAUAUAUUACAAGAUGUAUUAUGUAGUCAAUGACGGGUUCUCACGCUGAAUAUUCUAACAUCCUACAUAACUAAUUAAAUAUGGCAUAGAAAUAAUGGUUCACAAAUGAUAUAACCAACCCCGGUUGAAGUUAAAAACAAAUGUCAAUCCAAACAUUUAUAUUUACAAAUGCUCAUUCAAAUAUAAGAUGUUUCUAUAUUAUUUUAAAGUUACUGUCCCGCCCGUAGGGCGGGUUUACUCUAGUUUAAAGUAAAUUAAAGAAUAAAAUGAUUAAAUUAUUCCAAAUUCUAAGCUUUUAUUUUAACUUUGUCCUUUAAAUACUAAACAUUAUAUAAUAAUCAUAAACUCAAAUAUAAAAGUUAUUAAAAUAAACUUUUAAUUAGUGUUAUUUUGGAAAAUUUUCUCUCAUGUGCUAUUUUGUAACAAAAAUGUUUAAUCUUAUCCUAUAAUAUUUUUUAGGAAAAUUCCAACUUUACCUCAAACUUGAUAUCAUUAUUUUAAAUUUACAUUUAAAUGAUAAUCAAUUUCAUAAAUUCAUCAAGUUUAUUAUACAAACAGACAGAUUAACCCUUUUAAAUCAUUUAUGCAAGAAUUAGUUAUAGAAGUUUAUAAGCCCACCACAUUCCUAAAUCCUAAACCUUAAACCAUAAUCACUAAAUUUUAAAUCCAAAUGUUAGAGUGUUUUUGAUUGAAUGUAUUUUUUUAAAAUCAGUAUCCAACAUAAUUUAUGUCAAAUAACUUCUCAAAAUUUUCUUCUUUUUGGCCAACUAAAUUUUUUUUUACCUAUUUCUAAAAGAUAACUUUUGGAUUUAAUUAUUUUAACAUGGUAAAUAUUAGUCGAUAAACAUGAUGAAAUUUUUGUGCUGCAAUUGCUGUAAAAAGCUCGACUAUUGCUAUUGCUUAGGGAUGGGUAAAAACAAAAAACGAAACAAACCAACCCAACCGAACCAAACUAAAGUAAAUGUCGAAACUUUUUGGUUAAAAUUUUUAUCAACUCAAAUGUUUUUUUCUCGGUUUUAAACAGAACCUAAAAGUCGAAUUUAAAAAAAUUAAAUUAAAUAAAUACACUAAUAAUAUUAAGAUUUAAGAUAUUUAAUCAUUUAAAAAAAUCAAGCAUAAUUUAUAUAUUUUACUUCUAAAUGAAUAGUAGGAAAAAAAAAAACUAAAAACUAAAAUAAAAAUAUGAAUCUCUUACAUUAACAUCAAAACUAAAAAAUUAACUAUUAUAUUUAUCUUAGGUUUAAAAAUAAUAAUAAUAUAAAAUUAUUGAAUUACAUCUUUUAUAUUUUUAUUGAGAUUUUUUGGCUUUAUGUUUAAAUAUGAAGAAGAUAAUGAUUUAGUGUUGAUUUAUUUUAUGUUUUAAUAUUGUAACCGAAAUAGAAAAAAAAACUAAAAGAUUGAUCACUCGAUUGAACUGAACAUAUACAAAUUAAAAAAAUAAACUAAAACCAAACUGAAUACAAACCAAAUUGUAUUAAAACUGUACUAAACCGUACGCAAACCAAACCAAACUAAUUUAGAUUGAUUUUGGUUAAAAAAAUUGUAAACCCAAAUAAACUAAAUCGAACCGAAUACAAAAUUAAACUAAAAUGCGCACCCUACUCUUACUAGUAGAGUUGAUGUCGAUUAAAUUAUCUUUGACCAUAACUAUAAUACUAUUAAAAAGAAUAGUUGAAAACAAAUAUUUGUGUGUACUUGGAACAUUAUUUUCUUUGUCUCCAUUUUACUUGUGGCCUAUGAGAAAAGACAAAUUUAAUAUUAAUUAAACAGAUAAAGAUGAAUUUGGACUGAUUUACCAAAAAGAUGAAUUUGGACUGAUUUAUCAAAAAGAUGAAUUUGGACUGAUCGACCAACAAACAACAACUAUUAUUUGUUCCUAAUUUAUCCAAAAGUUGAUGCAUAUGAUUGAUUUAACCUAAUGUUUUCUCUGUAUCCUUGUAAAUGCAGCACUAAUUUGAAUUAGAGGACAUUUUGUUUUAUUUCAUACGUGGAACAAGAACCCUAAUAAAGUACACAUACUAGUACUGGCACUAAUUUACUAGUCCGAUCUCAUGACUUUUACACUUGGGAAAGUUAACAAAAAAUUACAAAAAUAUUGGGAUUAAUGGAAGAAUCUUUCUACUGGAAUGUGAAACGAAGUGGUGCUGAUACGACGCUGUAUCAUCUUUCAGACAAAAGCUGCACGUCAGUGACAAUCAUCGUCUUGGGCAUCCAACAAAACAUUCUUCUUUUUACUUUGUUUUUUUCGGGUUUAGCAUAUUUCACAUUUGCCCCUUUUUCUUUUACAAAAAUAUCAUUCAACAUUUCUAUUUUUCUUUGGUAAACUCAACAUUUCUAUUUGUAAAACUGUUAUCGCAAUUAUUAAAGCAAGUUUUUGUUGUUGGUUUUUCAAAUAUAGCGUUUACAUCAAAAUAUAUUGUAACUUCAAACUGUUGAAUUACGACAAAAAAACAUAUUUAAUUUCAUUCAUCAAAUAAAAUACUUACGGUGACAA